CUUGGUCAUUUAGAGGAAGUAAAAGUCGUAACAAGGUUUCCGUAGGUGAACCUGCGGAAGGAUCAUUACUGAUUUGCUUAAUUGCACCACAUGUGUUUUGUUCUGGACAAACUUGCUUUGGCGGUGGGCCCCUGCCUGCCGCCAGAGGACAUAAACUUACAACCAAAUUUUUUAUAAACUUGUCACGAGAUUAUUUUUAAUAGUCAAAACUUUCAACAACGGAUCUCUUGGUUCUCGCAUCGAUGAAGAACGCAGCGAAAUGCGAUACGUAAUAUGAAUUGCAGAUAUUCGUGAAUCAUCGAAUCUUUGAACGCACAUUGCGCCCUCUGGUAUUCCGGAGGGCAUGCCUGUUUGAGCGUCGUUUCUCCCUCAAACCCCUAGGGUUUGGUGUUGAGCAAUACGACUUGGGUUUGCUUGAAAGAUGAUAGUGGUAUAAGGCGGAGAUGCUUGACAAUGGCUUAGGUGUAACCAAAAACAUUGCUAAGGCGGUCUCUGGCGUCGCCCAUUUUAUUCUUCAAACUUUGACCUCAAAUCAGGUAGGACUACCCGCUGAACUUAAGCAUAUCAAUAAGCGGAGGAAAAGAAACCAACAGGGAUUGCCUCAGUAGCGGCGAGUGAAGCGGCAAAAGCUCAAAUUUGAAAUCUGGCGUCUUUGGCGUCCGAGUUGUAAUUUGAAGAAGGUAUCUUUGGGCCCGGCUCUUGUCUAUGUUCCUUGGAACAGGACGUCACAGAGGGUGAGAAUCCCGUGCGAUGAGAUGGC
RNAcentral lists this ribosomal RNA (760 nucleotides) under uncultured Candida. Its description in RNAcentral is "eukaryotic LSU rRNA". The stretch from base 523 to 760 matches the Rfam family "Eukaryotic large subunit ribosomal RNA", at positions 1 to 237 of the family's 3401-position model. The record is from RNAcentral. Lineage: Eukaryota; Fungi; Ascomycota; Saccharomycetes; Saccharomycetales.